RNAcentral lists this small RNA (127 nucleotides) under Marmota monax (woodchuck). Lineage: Eukaryota; Metazoa; Chordata; Mammalia; Rodentia; Sciuridae. The record is from RNAcentral.
GCUGGGUGCGGUGGCACACGCCUGUAAUUUCAGCAGCUCUGGAGGCUGAGGCAGGAGGAUCAUGAGUUGGAGGCCAGUCUCAGCAAUUUAGUGAGGCCCUAAGCAACUCAGUGAGACCCUGUCUCUA